AUACGGAGGGUGCAAGCGUUACUCGGAAUCACUGGGCGUAAAGGACGCGUAGGCGGGUUGGCAAGUCAGAUGUGAAAUCCUACAGCUUAACUGUAGAACUGCAUUUGAAACUGCUAACCUAGAGUAUGGGAGGGGGAGAUGGAAUUAGUGGUGUAGGGGUAAAAUCCGUAGAUAUCACUAGGAAUACCGAAAGCGAAGGCGAUCUCCUGGAACAUAACUGACGCUAAGGCGUGAAAGCGUGGGGAGCAAACCGGAUUAGAAACCCUUGUAGUCC
Molecule: ribosomal RNA, 274 nt
Filed under: uncultured bacterium
Lineage: Bacteria
Description: partial 16S ribosomal RNA
Rfam family: Bacterial small subunit ribosomal RNA
Source: RNAcentral